UACGAAGGGGGCGAGCGUUGUUCGGAUUUACUGGGCGUAAAGCGUGCGCAGGCGGUUAUGUAAGUCAGGUGUGAAAUGCCCGGGCUUAACCUGGGAACUGCAUUUGUGACUGCAUGGCUAGAGUUUGGCAGAGGGGGGUAGAAUUCCACGUGUAGCAGUGAAAUGCGUAGAUAUGUGGAGGAACACCGAUGGCGAAGGCAGCCCCCUGGGUCAAGACUGACGCUCAUGCACGAAAGCGUGGGGAGCAAACAGG
RNAcentral lists this ribosomal RNA (253 nucleotides) under uncultured bacterium. RNAcentral's name for it is "partial 16S ribosomal RNA". It matches the Rfam family "Bacterial small subunit ribosomal RNA", at positions 524 to 776 of the family's 1533-position model. The record is from RNAcentral.